CCCUAACCGUGCGAAGGUAGCAUAAUCACUUGUUCUUUAAAUGAGGACUCGUAUCAACGGCAUCACGAGGAUCCUACUGUCUCCCCCCUCUAAUCGGUGAAACUGAUCUCUCCGUGAAGAAGCGGAGAUGUACAUAUAAGACGAGAAGACCCCAUGGAGCUUUAAACCCAACAACACCCGCCCCCCUCCAAAUCCUAUUAUUUACCCGGUGAUUGUUUGUUUGGUUUUAGGUUGGGGUGACCGCGGAGUAUAAGAUAUCCUCCAUGAAAAAAAGCUAACUGCCCUUAUUAGAGAAAGACACUUCCAAAAAAUAAUAAAUUAAUUUUAAAUGAUCCGACAUUCGAUCAACGAACCAAGUUACCCUGGGGAUAACAGCGCAAUCCGUCCCGAGAGCCCCUAUCGACAGGCGGGUUUACGACCUCGAUGUUGGAUCAGGGUAUCCCAGUGGUGCAGCAGCUACUAAAGGUUCGUUUGUUCAACGAUUAAAACCCU
RNAcentral lists this ribosomal RNA (492 nucleotides) under Boophis madagascariensis (Madagascar bright-eyed frog). Its description in RNAcentral is "partial 16S ribosomal RNA". It matches the Rfam family "Bacterial large subunit ribosomal RNA", at positions 1940 to 2597 of the family's 2925-position model. The record is from RNAcentral. Lineage: Eukaryota; Metazoa; Chordata; Amphibia; Anura; Mantellidae.